UACGUAGGGGGCAAGCGUUGUCCGGAUUUAUUGGGCGUAAAGAGCGUGUAGGCGGCCAGGUAGGUCUGCUGUGAAAACUCGAGGCUUAACCUCGAGAGGUCGGUGGAAACCAUCUGGCUAGAGUCCGGAAGAGGAGAGUGGAAUUCCUGGUGUAGCGGUGAAAUGCGCAGAUAUCAGGAAGAACACCCGUGGCGAAGGCGGCUCUCUGGGACGGUACUGACGCUGAGACGCGAAAGCGUGGGGAGCGAACAGG
Molecule: ribosomal RNA, 253 nt
Filed under: uncultured bacterium
Lineage: Bacteria
Description: partial 16S ribosomal RNA
Rfam family: Bacterial small subunit ribosomal RNA
Source: RNAcentral